CAACCCUUAAGCCCUGUUGCUUAGCGUUGGGAAUCUACGGCUUAGGCGUAGUUCCUCAAAAUUAGUGGCGGAGUUAUAGCACUCUUAGCGUAGUAAUUUGCCUCGCUUCUGAGCUGCUGUAGCUGCCUGCCGUAAAACCCCUAUACUUCUAGU
Molecule: unclassified non-coding RNA, 153 nt
Filed under: uncultured Annulohypoxylon
Lineage: Eukaryota; Fungi; Ascomycota; Sordariomycetes; Xylariales
Description: sequence contains ITS2
Source: RNAcentral